This 82-nucleotide transfer RNA is filed under the name Deinococcus peraridilitoris DSM 19664. It matches the Rfam family "tRNA". From Rfam's summary of the family: Transfer RNA (tRNA) molecules are approximately 80 nucleotides in length. Their secondary structure includes four short double-helical elements and three loops (D, anti-codon, and T loops). Lineage: Bacteria; Thermotogati; Deinococcota; Deinococci; Deinococcales; Deinococcaceae. The record is from Rfam by way of RNAcentral.
GCGAGGAUGGCGGAACUGGUAGACGCGCUAGACUUAGGAUCUAGUAUCGAAAGAUGUGAGGGUUCAAGUCCCUUUCCUCGCA